AGGCAGCUAGCUCAACUGGCUAGAGCUUUCCGUUUACACCGGAAGGGUUGGGGGUUCAAGUCCCUCGCUGCCUA
Molecule: transfer RNA, 74 nt
Filed under: Candidatus Dojkabacteria bacterium
Lineage: Bacteria
Description: tRNA-Val
Rfam family: tRNA
About the family: Transfer RNA (tRNA) molecules are approximately 80 nucleotides in length. Their secondary structure includes four short double-helical elements and three loops (D, anti-codon, and T loops).
Source: RNAcentral